This 253-nucleotide ribosomal RNA is filed under the name uncultured bacterium. RNAcentral describes it as "partial 16S ribosomal RNA". It matches the Rfam family "Bacterial small subunit ribosomal RNA", at positions 524 to 776 of the family's 1533-position model. The record is from RNAcentral.
UACGAAGGGGGCUAGCGUUGCUCGGAAUCACUGGGCGUAAAGCGCACGUAGGCGGAUUGUUAAGUCGGGGGUGAAAUCCUGGAGCUCAACUCCAGAACUGCCCUUGAUACUGGCGGUCUCGAGUCCGGGAGAGGUGAGUGGAACUGCGAGUGUAGAGGUGAAAUUCGUAGAUAUUCGCAAGAACACCAGUGGCGAAGGCGGCUCACUGGCCCGGUACUGACGCUGAGGUGCGAAAGCGUGGGGAGCAAACAGG